Molecule: long non-coding RNA, 1122 nt
Organism: Jaculus jaculus (lesser Egyptian jerboa)
Lineage: Eukaryota; Metazoa; Chordata; Mammalia; Rodentia; Dipodidae
Exons: 3
Source: RefSeq, a predicted model, not a curated record
GGAAUGCAUUUGAAAAGCUCAGAUACACGGAACAGAUCGUCAUAUCCAGCAUGAUGCAGAAUGAGGAACAUAUGGCUGAUGCCCUGAACAGGGCCAGAUUCAAGUACCACAGAGGAUAGAAAAUUCACAUCUCAAAGAAGUGAGGAUUUGCCAAGAUGACUGAAGAUGCACUGGAAGACGCGGUGGCUGAGAAGCAGGGCAUGCUGAUGGCUGUACUCUCACACAGUCACCGGGAGUAAGCCACUAAUGCUGGGUUUUAUCCAAGCUGAGGCCCCUAGAAUAUGAGUGGAACUACUAAAGCUGCUGAGAGUGACCGUGUGAAGCCACAGUACUUCCAACCAGUCCAACUAGAACCUCCACAUUCUCAAGUUGCAGAAUUAACUCUAAAGAGAGAAGGUAAAACUCACCGACCAGCUGGGGUGGCUUGAAGACCCGGUGAGCGAUGCUGACCAGCAGUCUGCCUUUCCAAUACUUGCCUACAGGAAGGCAAACCUGCUGUGUAAGGGUUCAGGUCCCACAUGCAUGUGUCUGAAGCCAGUUUGCCACGACCAGGCCCUGCAGCCCCUUUCUGCAGUCUGUAAGACAGCAGCAGUGGAAACACCUGUGUGAGGCACAGCCAGGAAGUCCAGCCCCACUGCUGCUGAGCCCACUUGAUUGCCCACCCUGGCAGGGGCGGAGCCUUAUGUCUGCCACACCCAUCCAGCUGUGUUACACUCCUUAGCACUUCAGGCAUCUCCUACAAGGUCACUGUUUCUGUCCCAUGUAACCUGUAGCCACCACGGUGGGCGGAUCACGUUUGGGGAGGGUGAAGAGGAGCUGGACAGGCACUGGGCAGCUCUACAUCAGGAGGACCCUGGCUCUCCAUUCAUCAUGUUGAGAGGGCAGCAGCUCACAGCGUGCAUCAGGAGAGCUGGAGUAGACGAGGCCCAAGUAUGUUGAGAAUUUGCAGCACCUGGAUAAAGGGUCGGCAUGGAUGAAGUUUUCACCUCAGCUCAAGCCGGAUUUCUCAGGUACCUGAGACUUCAGCAGCAAUGACCACUGUUGGUUAUCUCCACUGAUGACUUCAUUCUCUCUCUCCAUAAAUCUGCAUACAGCAUAGCUUUUUUCCAGCUUUCUGUCAGC